Molecule: unclassified non-coding RNA, 117 nt
Organism: Pongo abelii (Sumatran orangutan)
Lineage: Eukaryota; Metazoa; Chordata; Mammalia; Primates; Hominidae
Rfam family: Metazoan signal recognition particle RNA
About the family: The signal recognition particle (SRP) is a universally conserved ribonucleoprotein.
Source: Ensembl
GCUGGGCAUGGUGGCUCAUGCCUGUAAUCCCAGCACUUUGGGAGGCUGAGGUGGGAGGAUCACAUGAGCUCAGGAGUUCGAGAGCAGCCUGGGCAACAUGGUGAAACCCCAUCUCUA